CCUACGGGAGGCAGCAGUGGGGAAUAUUGCACAAUGGGCGAAAGCCUGAUGCAGCGACGCCGCGUGAGUGAAGAAGUAUUUCGGUAUGUAAAGCUCUAUCAGCAGGGAAGAAAAUGACGGUACCUGAUUAAGAAGCCCCGGCUAAUUACGUGCCAGCAGCCGCGGUAAU
This 169-nucleotide ribosomal RNA is filed under the name uncultured bacterium. RNAcentral describes it as "partial 16S ribosomal RNA". It matches the Rfam family "Bacterial small subunit ribosomal RNA", at positions 338 to 524 of the family's 1533-position model. The record is from RNAcentral.